ACGGGUGAGUAAUGCCUAGGAAUCUGCCUGGUAGUGGGGGAUAACGUUCGGAAACGGACGCUAAUACCGCAUACGUCCUACGGGAGAAAGCAGGGGACCUUCGGGCCUUGCGCUAUCAGAUGAGCCUAGGUCGGAUUAGCUAGUUGGUGAGGUAAUGGCUCACCAAGGCGACGAUCCGUAACUGGUCUGAGAGGAUGAUCAGUCACACUGGAACUGAGACACGGUCCAGACUCCUACGGGAGGCAGCAGUGGGGAAUAUUGGACAAUGGGCGAAAGCCUGAUCCAGCCAUGCCGCGUGUGUGAAGAAGGUCUUCGGAUUGUAAAGCACUUUAAGUUGGGAGGAAGGGCCAUUACCUAAUACGUGAUGGUUUUGACGUUACCGACAGAAUAAGCACCGGCUAACUCUGUGCCAGCAGCCGCGGUAAUACAGAGGGUGCAAGCGUUAAUCGGAAUUACUGGGCGUAAAGCGCGCGUAGGUGGUUUGUUAAGUUGGAUGUGAAAUCCCCGGGCUCAACCUGGGAACUGCAUUCAAAACUGACUGACUAGAGUAUGGUAGAGGGUGGUGGAAUUUCCUGUGUAGCGGUG
RNAcentral lists this ribosomal RNA (585 nucleotides) under Pseudomonas sp. StFLB062. RNAcentral's name for it is "bacterial SSU rRNA". It matches the Rfam family "Bacterial small subunit ribosomal RNA", at positions 102 to 683 of the family's 1533-position model. The record is from RNAcentral. RNAcentral also lists the same sequence under 3 other names. Lineage: Bacteria; Pseudomonadati; Pseudomonadota; Gammaproteobacteria; Pseudomonadales; Pseudomonadaceae.